AGGCGGUCAUUCAGUGCAAUGAAGACAUCAAAGACCAUAAAAUAACCUCUGAUCAGACUUCUCGGUACGAUCGGUUGGCUAAGGCAGAAUGAACACCAAAUUUUCGUGGAUUCUUGUGGCUCUUCUUUUAAGUUCGUUUGUAUGUUGGAGUAGCACAUUUGCGCCGGGCCAGCAUAACCCAAAGAUGCGUUAUGGAAAACGACAUUUUGUCCCACAAUCCAACCGUGCAAAUGAAUACCUCCCUCGAGCAUGGCUGAAAAAGUCCGUUGAAGAUACUGCAAAAAAGCAGUUCAAGGCACGGCUUGAAUGAGGCACGUCAUCGGGCGGAGUUCAGCAAUCAGUUAUCGAGUUUAAAAAAUUGGGUGAACGAUUUAGGUCUUACAUAUUUCUUUUAGAGUUAUUUUAACGAAUUUAUUGCGUAAGGUAUGAAUUAUUUUUGUAAUCAAACAGUUAUAAUUAAAAGAUAAACCCUGUAAGGCUGACAUGGAUCUGAUGACAUAAUCAUUCACUCAUAUCUCUAUUUCAAGUGACAUCGUCAUUAGAUUUAAUUAGCUUUGAUGUAAAAGAAGCAAGAACUUAACGGAAUGUUACCUCCGUAAACUAAAAGUAUGAUUAUUGUAAUUCUGAAAAAUGACUUUCUCAAAUAUUAAAGGUCAUGUUAAAAAAAAUACUCUUUAAUAGACACAGUUAGAGCUUAACUCAACAGGGUGAUUUUGUUUUACGACUAGACUCUCACUCAACAAAACGAGUACUGUGAUUGGUCGAUUCGUCUCGGGAAACACCAGGACUCGAGGGAAAACAAGUGUGCCCUCCCUUAAGUACUUUGUUAUAUAUUUAGGGACCAUACAUUAAGUGAAUAUUGGUUCGACUGUACAAAGUACAGAAAGUUUAACACCAAGCUAUUACGCUCCCUAUACAACUUGUUGCCCAAUUGAGCGGCGGUUUUGUUUUAAGAAUGAUUCCGUUUGGACUGCACCGUGAUUGGGAGAAAAGUAUUCAUCCUUACAAUAAAAAUAACAUUAUUUACAAUAACAAAUCAUUAUGAUGAAAACAAUAAUAAUGAUAAAGUUAAAAUUUGACUGAAAAAUUAUGUUAUUAGGACUGAAUCAAGAAUAAGAUCAAAAAGUAAUUUGGCGAAUAAAUUGAAAUUACGAAGACAACCUAA
Pocillopora damicornis (cauliflower coral) is the source of this 1165-nucleotide long non-coding RNA. RefSeq lists it as uncharacterized. The record is from RefSeq and is a predicted model, not a curated record. Lineage: Eukaryota; Metazoa; Cnidaria; Anthozoa; Scleractinia; Pocilloporidae.